Molecule: ribosomal RNA, 207 nt
Filed under: uncultured bacterium
Lineage: Bacteria
Description: partial 16S ribosomal RNA
Rfam family: Bacterial small subunit ribosomal RNA
Source: RNAcentral
UGUGUAGGCGGUUCUCUAAGUUUGGUGUGAAAUCUCCCGGCUCAACCGGGAGGGUGCGCCGAAAACUGGAGGACUGGAGUGCGGGAGAGGAGAGUGGAAUUCCUGGUGUAGCGGUGAAAUGCGUAGAUAUCAAGAGGAACACCGGCGGUGUAGACGGCUCUCUGGACCGUAACUGACGCUGAGACACGAAAGCGUGGGGAGCAAACA